CAAAGUGUAGCUUAAAUUAAAGCACCUAGUUUACACCUAGGAGAUAUCUCCCAAAAAGAUCCCUUUGA
This 68-nucleotide transfer RNA is filed under the name Kerivoula pellucida (clear-winged woolly bat). Its description in RNAcentral is "tRNA-Val". It matches the Rfam family "tRNA". Rfam says of the family: Transfer RNA (tRNA) molecules are approximately 80 nucleotides in length. Their secondary structure includes four short double-helical elements and three loops (D, anti-codon, and T loops). Further hydrogen bonds mediate the characteristic L-shaped molecular structure. tRNAs have two regions of fundamental functional importance: the anti-codon, which is responsible for specific mRNA codon recognition, and the 3' end, to which the tRNAs corresponding amino acid is attached (by aminoacyl-tRNA synthetases). tRNAs cope with the degeneracy of the genetic code in two manners: having more than one tRNA (with a specific anti-codon) for a particular amino acid; and 'wobble' base-pairing, i.e. permitting non-standard base-pairing at the 3rd anti-codon position. The record is from RNAcentral. Lineage: Eukaryota; Metazoa; Chordata; Mammalia; Chiroptera; Vespertilionidae.